RNAcentral lists this ribosomal RNA (513 nucleotides) under uncultured bacterium. RNAcentral's name for it is "partial 16S ribosomal RNA". It matches the Rfam family "Bacterial small subunit ribosomal RNA", at positions 28 to 523 of the family's 1533-position model. The record is from RNAcentral.
GAUGAACGCUGGCGGCAUGCCUAAUACAUGCAAGUCGAGCGAACAGAUGAAGUGCUUGCACUUCUGACGUUAGCGGCGAACGGGUGAGUAACACGUAAGGAAUCUACCUAUAAGCGGGGGAUAACAUUCGGAAACGGGUGCUAAUACCGCAUAAUAUCUUCUUCCGCAUGGAAGAAGAUUGAAAGACGGCCCUGCUGUCACUUAUAGAUGACCUUGCGGUGCAUUAGUUAGUUGGUGGGGUAACGGCCUACCAAGACGAUGAUGCGUAGCCGACCUGAGAGGGUGAUCGGCCACAUUAGGACUGAGACACGGCCCAAACUCCUACGGGGGGCAGCAGUAGGGACUCAUCCGCAAUGGGCGACAGCCUGACGGAGCAAUGCCGCGUGAGUGAAGAAGGCCUUCGGGUCGUAAAACUCUGUUAUAAGAGAAGAACAAAUUGUAGAGUAACUGCUACAGUCUUGACGGUAUCUUAUCAGAAAGCCACGGCUAACGACGUGCCAGCCGCCGCCGUAA